RNAcentral lists this ribosomal RNA (499 nucleotides) under uncultured bacterium. Its description in RNAcentral is "bacterial SSU rRNA". It matches the Rfam family "Bacterial small subunit ribosomal RNA", at positions 903 to 1397 of the family's 1533-position model. The record is from RNAcentral.
AAAUGAAUUGACGGGGGCCCGCACAAGCGGUGGAGCAUGUGGUUUAAUUCGACGCAACGCGAAGAACCUUACCAGGUCUUGACAUCCUCUGAAAAGCCAAGAGAUUGGUGGUUUUGCCUUCGGGCAGACAGGGAGACAGGUGGUGCAUGGUUGUCGUCAGCUCGUGUCGUGAGAUGUUGGGUUAAGUCCCGCAACGAGCGCAACCCUUAUUCUUAGUUGCCAGCAGGUAGAGCUGGGCACUCUAAGGAGACUGCCGGUGACAAACCGGAGGAAGGUGGGGAUGACGUCAAAUCAUCAUGCCCUUUAUGACCUGGGCUACACACGUGCUACAAUGGCCUGUACAAAGGGUAGCGAAGCCGUGAGGCGGAGCCAAUCCCAAAAAGCAGGUCUCAGUUCGGAUUGCAGGCUGCAACUCGCCUGCAUGAAGUCGGAAUCGCUAGUAAUCGCAGGUCAGCAUACUGCGGUGAAUACGUUCCCGGGCCUUGUACACACCGCCCGU